Long non-coding RNA from Fundulus heteroclitus (mummichog), 483 nucleotides. RefSeq lists it as uncharacterized. Lineage: Eukaryota; Metazoa; Chordata; Actinopteri; Cyprinodontiformes; Fundulidae. The record is from RefSeq and is a predicted model, not a curated record. The transcript has 3 exons.
CAGUUUUGACCAGGAAGAACAAAAUGUGCAAUUCUUUCCAUUCAUGAUAACAUUUACGAGUAUUUGAAGAGUUACAACUUCACUGAAUAUCCUGCUGCCUCAAAGUUCAGCUUGUAUAAGAUGGUCAUAACCCAAUGCUGAUGCAAAACUAGAAAAGAUAGAUGUCCUGAGGCGGUCCCUGUGAACAGGAUCAGGUGCCAGUCAAGGCUGGCAGCACAUCAAAUUGAACUUGAGGAUAAAGGCAGAUUUAUGCCCGGCACUUCUCCCGGGAGCAAUGAGCCCAGCCCGGCAGAUCCAGUGGCAUAUUUGUCUGUCGCUCCCUCCCUGUCUUCCUCUUCCUUUGACUUCCUCUGUAAAGAGACCCAGGUGGGAGCAUUGUGGAGCGUAACCUUGGAUUCCCCUCGGAACAUCACCUUUGGUCAGCAGUUUGACCUUACGGUCCCGUCGAAGGCAUCAGAAUAGAAAUUAGGAGCUUGCCCUGAC